UACGUAGGGUGCAAGCGUUGUCCGGAAUUAUUGGGCGUAAAGAGCUCGUAGGUGGCCUGUCGCGUCGGCUGUGAAAACUCGGGGCUCAACUCCGAGCUUGCAGUCGAUACGGGCAGGCUAGAGUUCGGCAGGGGAGACUGGAAUUCCUCGUGUAGCGGUGAAAUGCGCAGAUAUCAGGAGGAACACCGGUGGCGAAGGCGGGUCUCUGGGCCGAUACUGACACUGAGGAGCGAAAGCGUGGGGAGCAAACAGG
RNAcentral lists this ribosomal RNA (253 nucleotides) under uncultured bacterium. RNAcentral's name for it is "partial 16S ribosomal RNA". It matches the Rfam family "Bacterial small subunit ribosomal RNA", at positions 524 to 776 of the family's 1533-position model. The record is from RNAcentral.